Molecule: long non-coding RNA, 521 nt
Organism: Saccostrea echinata
Lineage: Eukaryota; Metazoa; Mollusca; Bivalvia; Ostreida; Ostreidae
Exons: 4
Source: RefSeq, a predicted model, not a curated record
CUCUUCCAGAUAUUUCACUUAUUCUGAAUAUUGCAAGAUACGAAUUACCAAUGCAAUAAGGAGGAGAAAUAGGCUUUUUAGCCUCGGAUGAUGGACGAUGGGAGGAGGACCAAGGUCGCAAACGGAGGAAGAGGAGUCGGUCGCCCAACGACAGAAGAGAAGUCCGUCGCAGAACAGAAGAAGAGGAGUCCAUUGCCCAGUUAUGUCCAGUGCCCAAUAUUGAUGAAAGAGCAGAAGACGGUUUAGGCUGACCCGGAUGCCGUCUUGAGACGAAGUUUGUCUCCCAUUCAACUGCAGCCACCCCUGUAAGAUGCGGAUGCAGACCGACGGGGCCCGUCAGAAGAAGAGCGCUAGGAGCCGAUUCCGCAGCCAGGAAGCCUAAUAGAGAAGGAUUUUUGUUUCUUUUUUUCCUUUUUGUCUCUUUUCCGUCUUCUCCAAUUUCCUUCAAUCUCUAACAUAACUAACUUCCUCCCCCCCUUCCCUUCCUCCCCUUUACCCUUUCCUGACCUAACUGUCUUCAU